RNAcentral lists this long non-coding RNA (213 nucleotides) under Lathyrus oleraceus (garden pea). RNAcentral describes it as "Pisum sativum (pea) long non-coding RNA (PSAT_LNC025893)". Lineage: Eukaryota; Viridiplantae; Streptophyta; Magnoliopsida; Fabales; Fabaceae. The record is from RNAcentral.
UUUUGUUUACCAUCACCACAAACUUAAAAGAUUUAUAUCCAUAGCAAUUCCAAACUUAAAAUCAUGAUACAUAAAAUUCUUGCAAUCUUAUAACUAUAUAACUCUAAUGGAAUCAAACGACUAGACUUAAAGAAGAGGUUAGCAACAAAUUUAUUUAUUAAUUUAUAAGGGUAAUCUUAAAAGGUUAAAAGCUUAAAGAAGAAAAUGUCUUAG